UAUUGUCUCCUCCAUCUAAGUUAUGUAAGAGGAAAAGAGCGAAAAGCUUACUUUUAGGUAGUGGCCUAAGCGCUAAGAAGCUCCAAUCAUGCUACUCAGACUAUAUGCUUAACACAUGCAAGUCGAACCUUGGUUUUCGGAGUUCGAAAGAGAAGGGGAAGAAGCGGGGUAGAGGAAUUGGUCAACUCAUCAGGCUCAUGACCUGAAGAUUGCAGGUUCGAAUCCUGUCCCCGCCUA
Nicotiana tabacum (common tobacco) is the source of this 237-nucleotide non-coding RNA. NCBI's taxonomy places the organism in Eukaryota, Viridiplantae, Streptophyta, Magnoliopsida, Solanales, Solanaceae. The record is from RefSeq and is a predicted model, not a curated record.